Molecule: ribosomal RNA, 462 nt
Filed under: uncultured bacterium
Lineage: Bacteria
Description: bacterial SSU rRNA
Rfam family: Bacterial small subunit ribosomal RNA
Source: RNAcentral
AGAGUUUGAUCAUGGCUCAGGAUGAACGCUGGCGGCGUGCCUAAUACAUGCAAGUCGUGCGGAAAGGCCACUUCGGUGGUACUCGAGCGGCGGACGGCAGAGUAACGCGUAGGAACAUACCCCAAACUGAGGCAUAACUGCUCGAAAGAGCAGCUAAUACCGCAUGUGAUCUUCGGAUUAAAGCUUCGGCGGUUUGGGAAUGGCCUGCGUCCGAUUAGCUAGUUGGUGAGGUAAAUGCUCACCAAGGCUUCGAUCGGUAGCUGGUCUGAGAGGAUGAUCAGCCUGACUGGAACUGAGAACGGUCCAGACUCCUACGGGUGGCAGCUGUAGGGAAUUUUCCACAAUGGGCGAAAGCCUGAUGGAGCAACGCCGCGUGCAGGAUGAAUGCCUUCGGGUUGUAAACUGCUUUUAUUAGUGAAGAAUAUGACGGUAACUAAUGAAUAAGGGUCGGCUAACUACGUG